This is a long non-coding RNA of Neofelis nebulosa (Clouded leopard), 483 nucleotides long. RefSeq lists it as uncharacterized. The transcript has 3 exons. NCBI's taxonomy places the organism in Eukaryota, Metazoa, Chordata, Mammalia, Carnivora, Felidae. The record is from RefSeq and is a predicted model, not a curated record.
CACGGCGAGGACACGGGAGCAGGGCCGGGAGUGUGCUUCCUCGCCCCCGACAACCCUACGCAGCGGUAGUUUGCGUGUAAACCAAAUCAUGCCACUGUAUUGCUUAAAACACUCCGAAUGUCAGAAGACUUGCACCAGGCCAUCAUUUCUACAUGGCCUCCUGGGGAGGCCGGGCCAGAACAGGGAAGGCGUGUUCUGGGACAGAGACUCCGUCCGGCUGCCUCGGGCCCUCGAGGCUCUUCCAGGCCCAGCGCUCUGCGGCUCACGGAGGCCUCGGGACUCAGCCGGGUUCUCCUCCCUGAUGGCAACCUCAGACAUUAAACGCAUCCCGCCUGCUCUGCACAGCUCUUUGCGAUCUGUGAGUCUGCCUGCGUCCCUUUGGAAUCUCUUCAUAGCCCCUGCUUCUGUCCCCUUCAAAGGGGUAAGAGAUCCCUGAGCUUAUUAUGGGCCUAUAGAGUAGGACUUACUUUUCCGUAUCCCAAA